Molecule: long non-coding RNA, 1514 nt
Organism: Raphanus sativus (radish)
Lineage: Eukaryota; Viridiplantae; Streptophyta; Magnoliopsida; Brassicales; Brassicaceae
Exons: 4
Source: RefSeq, a predicted model, not a curated record
GAAGAAAAAAUAAGAAGAAGCAGAAGAUGGUUAAAUUAGCUGUGAUUUGGUUAGUAAUUUCGAUUUAUCUCUUCUGCUAUGUAUCAUCAAACACAGCCUUUAUCCAAGUAGGAUAUGAAUCGCCAAAGAUAAUUGGUGGGACAGAAACAAGAGAAGGGGUUUGGGAGAAAAAGUUGAUCAAAGGGAGUAAGAUUGCAGUAGGAGGCAGUGUUUCAAAGGCUGCAAAAAUAAAAGAAUCACCACCAAGGCCUGGACCAUGAAGGGAAAAGAAGAUAGCGUUUUUUUUCUUAAUAACUGUGUUUGUAUAGUAAAUUAAAAAAAUUCACAAUCUUAAACUGGAAGAAAAAUAGUAUUACCCCCAAUAUGUUAAACUGGAAGAGUUAAAAACAAAAGCAUAUCGAAAACUCCAUAGAAUUACUUCAAACUUGAAUACAUCCAUAAGCUUCACAAAAUCAUAACAGCACCCGCAACGCGGGAUGCUAAUGAAUCCUUAGCAUUAACUCCUAUGCUAAAUGAAUUAAAAAAUAUUAAAACAAUUACUGUACCUAAGAAAGAGUAAUUAAGGAAAUCAAGGACUUGAUCCUUAGCACAAUUUCGUCCUUUUCGUUCAUUCUUUCCUGAUUCCUAUCAUCAUCAUCAUCUUAUUCUUCAAUUUUCGUUCAUUCUUUUCUGAUUCGGACUCUCGAUUUUGACAGGAUAAUCAAUCGAUGAGAGCGAAGGAGAAGACAAGAAAUUACAGUCAGCUCAGCUGUUGCCUCUACAACUCUCUCUCUCUAACUCCGUUGUUCAUCUGGGAACGAGGACGCUCCUUCGCCAUCGGUGGUGAUGGACUCCGACUUCGACGCCAAGACGUUCCGUAGGAACUUAACAAGAAGCGAUAAUUACAAUCGCAAAGGGUUUGGACACAAGGAGGAGACUCUCAAGCUCAUGAAUCGCGAGUACACCACACAAGACAAGAUUGCAGAUUUUGAGAUGAAGCUGAUGGAUAUCGACAGUUAGCAUUUAGGAAUCCCUGAUGCUGAGUACCACUCUAUUGUGAGGAUGCCUUCGGGUGAAUUUUCCAGGAUAUGCAAAGAUCUCAGUAGUAUUGGUGACACAGGUAAUUGAGUGAAAGUUUUCUGUUUUCUUCUUUUAUGUUUCUUUAGUGUAUUCAAGGUUUGCCUGAAGGCGCUUUGCGCAAGAUUAUCUUGACUGCAUCUGGUGGAGCUUUUAGAGACUGGCCUGUUGAAAAGCUCAAGGAAGUUAAAGUAGCAGAUGCUUUGAAGCAUCCUAACUGGAACAUGGGAAAGAAAAUCACAGUCGACUCAGCUACGCUUUUCAACAAGGUUCUUUGAAGCAUCCUAACUGGAACAGUUAUGUUUGACCUGUUCUUAUGUGUGAUUGAAUGAUUAGUGAUGAAUGAUGAUAGUUAGUAAAGAUGUAAAAACUGAUUAGUUGGUAUAGAGACUGAAGUCUUGUGAACUUUCUCAUUUUAUUUGCUAAGUUACUAUGGUGAAAAGGUUUGCUAAGUUACA